AUACCUUUCUCGGCCUUUUGGCUAAGAUCAAGUGUAGUAUCUGUUCUUAUCAGUUUAAUAUCUGAUAUAUGAGGUAUAUCCUCAUGUGAUAUUAAAUUUAUUUUUUUAGGGGAGGACUGUCAUCAUAGUGGCUUGCCGCUAGAACACUCUUGUGUUGCCUUGGUGUUGCACUAUCGUCGAGGCUUGGCACACCCCAA
Molecule: non-coding RNA, 197 nt
Organism: Oryza brachyantha (malo sina)
Lineage: Eukaryota; Viridiplantae; Streptophyta; Magnoliopsida; Poales; Poaceae
Source: Rfam